CCAAUAGCGUAUAUUAAAGUUGUUGUGGUUAAAAAGCUCGUAGUUGAACCUUGGGCCUGGCUGGCCGGUCCGCCUCACCGCGUGUACUGGUCCGGCCGGGCCUUUCCCUCUGUGGAACCCCAUGCCCUUCACUGGGUGUGGCGGGGAAACAGGACUUUUACUUUGAAAAAAUUAGAGUGCUCCAGGCAGGCCUAUGCUCGAAUACAUUAGCAUGGAAUACUAGAAUAGGACGUGUGGUUCGAUUUUGUUGGUUUCUAGGACCGCCGUAAUGAUUAAUAGGGACAGUCGGGGGCAUCAGUAUUCAAUUGUCAGAGGUGAAAUUCUUGGAUUUAUUGAAGACUAACUACUGCGAAAGCAUUUGCCAAGGAUGUUUUCAUUAAUCAGGAACGAAAGUUAGGGGAUCGAAGACGAUCAGAUACCGUCGUAGUCUUAACCAUAAACUAUGCCGACUAGGGAUCGGACGAUGUUACUUAUUGACUCGUUCGGCACCUUACG
This 495-nucleotide unclassified non-coding RNA is filed under the name uncultured Glomeromycotina. RNAcentral describes it as "SSU rRNA". It matches the Rfam family "Eukaryotic small subunit ribosomal RNA", at positions 591 to 1092 of the family's 1831-position model. Lineage: Eukaryota; Fungi; Glomeromycota. The record is from RNAcentral.